UCGAAAUAUUAACUUAUGUAGUAAAAAAUUUAUCUUGUGCAUUCAUUUUAGGCAACGAUUUUCUUUUCAAACAAAAGCUCAGAUAAAUUUCGAAAACGAAACGCUAACAUUACAAAACUUAUUACCUAUAAAAACAUACAGUAGUCAUAAUAAGAAUCACUAUAUAAAUAAAAUAAAAGAAGAGAUUCUAAAUUUAUUUACAGUAAACCCGAUAUAUUCCAUAGCUCAUUGCAUUUCAGUGGAUCUCAAAAUGAAUAAAGGAAUAGCAGCGCACAUAAAAAAUAAAAUUGGAAACGCAUACCCCCAAUUAUCCAAACUAAAACCAAAAGUAGGUGAAGCCAUUCCCAUAAAGGUAGGAAAUCGAACAAUUUAUUAUUUAGUAACAAAACAAAAAUAUUUUCACAAACCAUCAUUUAAAGAUAUAAAAACUACUCUUCAAAAUUUACAUAAAAUUAUGAAUAAAUUACACGACCACAAACUAGCCAUUCCCA
Cinara cedri is the source of this 491-nucleotide non-coding RNA. The record is from the annotation of a GenBank genome assembly. NCBI's taxonomy places the organism in Eukaryota, Metazoa, Arthropoda, Insecta, Hemiptera, Aphididae.